This is a non-coding RNA of Arachis ipaensis, 769 nucleotides long. The record is from RefSeq and is a predicted model, not a curated record. Lineage: Eukaryota; Viridiplantae; Streptophyta; Magnoliopsida; Fabales; Fabaceae.
UUUGGAUUAAAAAGAAAAAAAAAAUUAACGAACAAUUUCUUGACUCUGAAAUCUUCUUCUUCUCCCAGCCGUGCUCUCCUCUUCGUCGCUGUUCCCUGCCGCCUCAGUCACCGUCGUCUCCUCUCUCCCAGAAGCCUUGUAAUCGCCGACGUCGCCUCCCAGUCCUCUGCUAAGCCUCUCCUCGGCUUCUCAGUUCAGGACUUUCCUCAGUUUCGAGUUCGAUUAUGUCGAAGGACAAGGACUCUACCAAUUUGUCACGCACCUUCAAAUACCUCUUAGCUACUCAAUUCUUGUCAAGAGGAAUUCCAUUUAUAUUCAAUACAUGGAUUGUAACUUGUAAGGCAUCUUACACAAGAGGACUAUGCGCUAUAUGCAGUGCAGUUUCAUCUGUUUGUCACAUGUGUUUUAUUUCUUAGUCGGGAAGGCUUCCGGCAAGCAUGCGUGCGCAUGGAAAUGCAAAGUGAUUGCAAUACAAAAGAUGUUGUGAAGCUAAUGAAAGUAGUGUGGAUGAGUUUCCCGCUUGGAAUAUUUAUUACAAUAGUGGCAUGCUCUUUUGUUCUAUGGUUGCAAGGCCUAAGUUAUUCUAGUUCACUUGGGCAAGCUGUCUUGAUCAAUGGUCUUGCAUGCAUUUUGGAGCUUUUAGCUGAGCCUUUGUAUAUUCUUUCACAGAACUUGGUCUUGCUUGAAUUAAGAUUGAUGGUUGAGACAGUAGCUACUAUUUCACGAUGCUUGACAAUGUACUUUCUACUUGUCAAGAAAUCUCAAAUGG